UACGUAGGGGGCUAGCGUUGUCCGGAAUCAUUGGGCGUAAAGCGCGUGUAGGCGGUCCGUUAAGUCGGAUGUGAAAUCUCUGGGCUUAACCCAGAAAUCGCAUCCGAUACUGGCGGACUUGAGGAUGGUAGAGGUUGGUGGAAUUCCCGGUGUACCGGUGAAAUGGACAGAUAUCGGGAGGAACACCAGUGGCGAAGGCGGCCAACUGGGCCAUUCCUGACGCUGAGACGCGAAAGCCAGGGGAGCGAACCGG
RNAcentral lists this ribosomal RNA (253 nucleotides) under uncultured bacterium. RNAcentral's name for it is "partial 16S ribosomal RNA". It matches the Rfam family "Bacterial small subunit ribosomal RNA", at positions 524 to 776 of the family's 1533-position model. The record is from RNAcentral.